Molecule: ribosomal RNA, 392 nt
Filed under: Calcodes aeratus
Lineage: Eukaryota; Metazoa; Arthropoda; Insecta; Coleoptera; Lucanidae
Description: partial 16S ribosomal RNA
Source: RNAcentral
CCUGUUGUUAAUAAUUUAAGGUCUGACUUACUCUAUGAUUAAUUAAAUAGCUGCGGUAUUUUGACCGUGCAAACGUAGCAUAAUCAUUAGUUUUUUGAUUGGAAGCUGGUAUGAAUGGUUGUUCAAGUGAACAACUGUCUCUGGGAAAUUUUAUUUGAAUUUUACUUUUUAGUGAGAAAGCUAAUUUUUUGUGACGAACAAAAAGAACCUGUAGAUUCUUAUAAGUUAAUUAUGAUGCGGUUUUUAGUGUUAUUUGCUUAAUUGUAAUUAGUUUGUUUUGUUGGGGUGACAGGAAAAUUUAUUUCAUUUUUGCAUUAAUUUUUUGCAGUGCAAUUAAAAUUACUUUUUCGUGUAGGGCUAUAAAAUUAAGUCUGUUAGGCAUUUAAAAUUUU